Molecule: non-coding RNA, 208 nt
Organism: Oryza glaberrima (African rice)
Lineage: Eukaryota; Viridiplantae; Streptophyta; Magnoliopsida; Poales; Poaceae
Source: Rfam
AAUAAGUGCAGUUUUACACUAUUUACGUUCAACGUUUGACCGUUCGUCUUAUUUGAAAUUUUUUUAUGAUUAGUAUUUUUAUUGCUAUUAGAUGAUAAAACAUGAAUAUUACUUUAUGUGUGACUAAAUAUUUUCAAAUUUUUCACAAAUUUUUCAAAUAAGACGGACGGUUAAACAUUGGGCACGGAUAUCCAUGGCUGCACUUAUU